UGGGAUGAGCCAAGCCCGUGCA
RNAcentral lists this small nuclear RNA (22 nucleotides) under Arabidopsis thaliana (thale cress). Its description in RNAcentral is "snRNA_13106". Lineage: Eukaryota; Viridiplantae; Streptophyta; Magnoliopsida; Brassicales; Brassicaceae. The record is from RNAcentral.